CCUACGGGAGGCAGCAGUAGGGAAUCUUCCACAAUGGGCGAAAGCCUGAUGGAGCAACGCCGCGUGGGUGAAGAAGGUCUUCGGAUCGUAAAACCCUUUUGUUGGAGAAGAAAGUGCUAGAGAUUAACUGUUCACGUUUCGACGGUAUCUGACCAGGAAGCCACGGCUAACUCCGUGCCAGCAGCCGCGGUAAUACGUAGGUGGCAAGCGUUAACCGGAAUUAUUGGGCGUAAAGGGCACGCAGGCGGUCUUUUAAGUCUGAUGUGAAAUCCUUGGGCUUAACCGGAGUAGUGCAUUGGAAACUGGGAGACUUGAGUGCAGAAGAGGGGAGUGGAACUCCAGGUGUAGCGGUGAAAUGCGUAGAUAUAUGGAAGAAUACCAGUGGCGAAAGCGGCUCUCUGGUCUGUAACUGACGCUGAGGUUCGAAAGCGUGGGUAGCAAACAGGAUUAGAUACCCUGGUAGUC
This 465-nucleotide ribosomal RNA is filed under the name uncultured bacterium. RNAcentral describes it as "partial 16S ribosomal RNA". It matches the Rfam family "Bacterial small subunit ribosomal RNA", at positions 338 to 795 of the family's 1533-position model. The record is from RNAcentral.